RNAcentral lists this ribosomal RNA (253 nucleotides) under uncultured bacterium. RNAcentral describes it as "partial 16S ribosomal RNA". It matches the Rfam family "Bacterial small subunit ribosomal RNA", at positions 524 to 776 of the family's 1533-position model. The record is from RNAcentral.
UACAGAGGGUGCGAGCGUUAAUCGGAAUUACUGGGCGUAAAGCGUGCGUAGACGGCUAUCUAAGUCGGGUGUGAAAGCCCCGGGCUCAACCUGGGAAUUGCAUUCGAGACUGAAUAGCUAGGGUGCGGUAGAGGGGGAUGGAAUUCCGCGUGUAGCAGUGAAAUGCGUAGAUAUGCGGAGGAACACCGAUGGCGAAGGCAAUCCCCUGGACCUGUACUGACGCUCAUGCACGAAAGCGUGGGGAGCAAACAGG